This is a long non-coding RNA of Gadus chalcogrammus (walleye pollock), 4729 nucleotides long. RefSeq lists it as uncharacterized. The transcript is spliced from 9 exons. Lineage: Eukaryota; Metazoa; Chordata; Actinopteri; Gadiformes; Gadidae. The record is from RefSeq and is a predicted model, not a curated record.
UGUCUUCCCAGAAACAAGAAUGUGCGUGUAAUGUUUUGUUGAGCUCUGUUGUAACUUAUUUGACAUCUCUUCCUGUUUCACAGGUUAAAGACUUUUUGAAGUAAAGAGGAGCAUCUCAUCUGAACCUGAUGUCUAUCAUGGAUAUUUAACUGCAGUUCUGUGAGUAUCCCAACUUGACCAUGAAGAUGAACUGCAAACUGUAAGUCAUUAGUUUCUCAUUACUCUUGGGCACAUUGAUGUAUUUUGGCUUCCUGGUGAGUUAACCUGUUAGCUGAAGGUUGAUCUGAGUAUUAAGGAUGUUUCAUUGGUUCAUGGGUUACUUAGGUGUUUGGUUUAUGUUGGUUUUAAUGUUUUUUUAUAAUGGUCACAGGCACCAAGUUAUUGUUGUAAGCUGGAGUAAUGGGUUGGGUUCUGAUAUCUUCAGUCUUCUUUCCAGCUACUCUCCUGAGCUCUGCAUCUUCAUCACAUGAGUGUUGCUUUAUUUAUGAGGGUGUGGUCUGAGUGAGCAGAGGUGCAUACUGGGAUACAGAGUUGUCUGAAGUCUACAGGUCUGUAGACACGCCCCCGCAGGGGAAACCGUGUGUUUGAGAAACGGUCGUGACAUCAGUUACAUGGACUAGAAUGUUCUUUAAGAUGGAGACAGGGAUUCAGAAGGAGAAACACCAGGGGGAGAUGAGGGGGCUCCUCAUCUCAACUACUAAAACCCAACUUCAGUCUGACGCAGAGAACCAUGGAACACAUUCAACCGUCCCCUCCAGGCAUAGUGACUCCUCAGGAACAGUUUCAUUUCCAAGAAGGUCUUAUUUGGGGCCAUUCCAAGAUGGAUCCUGCUCCUCAAGAGCCACCCCCUCCACUUGGUGGUUUUAUGAACAGAUUACCUCCUUCCUGUCCUCAGGCUGACUAAAGCUGCACCGCUUGCUGUGAAGGCCCCUCAUUCAGGAAUCCACUGGACUACAAAGACAUGACUUCAGAGACGUUGAAUCAACCUGGGACACAUUUUGGAGGCCAAGCAUAAUCCAUCAGUAAUGUGGGACGACAUUGAAGAUUGUUGUACAUAAUUUACGUCUCUGGAGACAUUGGUUGUUCUGUUCUGGGUGUCCUGGCAAGAGGGCUGGGGGUGGAUGAUGGAAUGUUCUUUGGGAUGAGGUUUUUACCCUGCAUGAUUGUUUUGCCUUUUAUGGCUGUGUUGUGUUGGUUUGACAUGAGGUGGAUGAUUUUUGUGUGUGUGUCACUCACACCUGGCAUGGGGUUCUGUGCGUGUGUCCGGCUUGCUUUGACAGUGAUAAUGGUCAUACGGGGGUCUGUGUGAUUGGCUUGGGAUAUUGGAAUGGUCAAAUAAAUCAUACCUGAUGGACGGCCACACGUUUACUUGAGGCCUCCAGUAGACAUGAAGAGCACGGAGCAACGCUCCGGAGAGAUAUCCAACACACUGGGCAGGAAGGAGAGUGUCCAAAUCAAGUGUAAAAGGAUGCAAGCGGUGUGUUCAGAUCAGUGACUUCAAACUAGGACUACACAAAUCAGGAUCAAUGGAGGAUGGACACCAAAAGGAAUUCCACAAGGAGAGUGAAGUUGGAAAGGGACCUCGAUGGAUAUUCAAGAUGACCUUCAGACCUGUAAUGAGACGGCUCUUCCUACCUGGCUGGAUUGAUGGAGAGCCCCGUGGAUCUUGUCUUGCUCUCAGUUGCACGUCUUCUCAGGCUGAACUGUAUUUGUUUCGGACAGGACUAGCUGAACGAUUGGUUCCCUUAAAUCAGAACCUAUCUGGGAACUCCAACUAGUGCGCUCUUCGAGCUGAAGGUUGUGCUCUUCAGCUGAGGAGGUAAUGAAACCUUCACUGGGGUUUCAAGAUGUAAGGAGGAGACUGUUUCAAAGUGUUCCAUGGUACUCUGAUGAAGACCGUUGUUGUGUUCCACUGGCUGAGAGGAAGAACCCUCACAUCUUCCUCUUGGCCUUUCUCCUCAGAGUCCUGGCGGCAUCUUGAAGGAUAGUCCAGGGCAUGUAACUGAUGUCACGACAGUUUCUCAACACUUGGUUUCUCCUGAGGGGCUUCUCUAUAGAACUGAAGACUUCAGACAGCACUGUAUCCCAGCAUGCAUCUCUGCUCACUCAGACCACACCCUAAUGAGUAGGAUGCAACACUCUAGCGAUGGAGAUGUAGAGUUUUAUAAGUAACGAGGGAGCAGACAAAGGUGAUUAGAACACAAUGGCAUGUCAAGUCUGUAAAUCUUUAAACCAUGAAGAUGGUUGGAUAGAUCAGGAAUUGGGCUUUAUUUUAUUAUGGGCAGUCCUCGCACUUCUCGCUGGACCUGUACAUGUGUUGGCUGGCUGGCAUGAUUUGCUGUUGGUGAUGAGUAGGUCAGGGUGACGUUGCAGGGCUAUGGUCGGCUCUCUGUGAGCUCAACGUUUAGAUUUGCUCUGUAUGGUUUGUACCAUGAAUAAUCUAGAUAAUUGUAAAAUGUAGACAUGGUUUUGUAUUGAAUGAUUCCAUUGUUUUUAGGCAAGGAUUUGUUGUUGUGGGAUGUACAUGGUAGUUUGGUUCUUCGUACGGUUUUGAUUGAUAUAACUUGUACACACUGGGUGCAUAAUAAUGUAAAAGUAUGCUGAAUAGUAGAAAUUACCAACAGCAACAAACGGAUCUCCUCAAGGUAAGUCUGUUGGCUGUGUUUUAAUGUAGACCAUCGCUGGACUUCAGGAUCUUCCUCCGUUCAGCUCAAGGUGAGGCGCUGGUUCUGUUUUUUCUUUGGUUGGUUCCGGCCGGAAUGUUCGGAUUCCAGUCGGACGGUUUGUGCUUCCCGCCGUGGAAGGUUCUGAGUGCGGUCACUUGAUUUAGUCCCAAUGGUUAGCAUAGAACGUUGUAGUCUUGACACCCAUUAGAAGCCACCUGGCAGUUGGUUGGACAGGAAUCUGUCUGAACGUUCUGGAUUGUAUUUGCGUAACCUUGAGCCGUUGCCAACGGAAACUAUUUUUCAGUUGAUUCCAUUGGGAAUUGUUGGCUCUUAUCUUAAACAACUUAAGUUUGAUAUUAAAUACAUACUGACGCGUACAUCGUACAAUAUGUUAAUUUUCGAUGGUUGCGCCGUACUUUUAUCCACGUUGACGGGACUCUCGCUGCGUACAAAACGGCGUUCUACUUGCGGGCCCAUUUCUGACAUCAGUGAAGGCUGAAAAUCAUUUCACGGUGGAAGACAAUUUGACAUUUCUUCAACGGAAUCCAGCACCUGAAUAUGAAUGGGUAAAUUUGAUUUAAUAUCAAUACUGCUUAGUGUUCUUUGGUACUUCAGCUUUUGUACGUUCUAAAUAUCUGGUCAUUAAUUGCACAGAAGUUAAACCUUACCUAAAGGAAUGACUUUAAACAACGACUUUGGUGCUGAGUUACCAACUGGAUAAUAUCAAAGCUAAAAUAAUGGCCGUCCUUCCCACGUGUUCUGUACAAGGUUAAAAGGGUAACAUGUAGUUUUUCCCAAGGUGUCCCCCUCCUCACCCAGAGUAAGACCUCCACCUCCUCACCCAGAGCCAGACCUCCACUGCCUGUCACAAGUCCUCCAGAACAGCUGAAAGGCGAGGCUGAGAGGCUGGGGACCGGAGGCUUGUGGUGCCAGGAUGGACCGGAGACUGAGGCUGGGGACCACGGGCCCGCAGCACCGGAUCAGAGGACCAGGAAUCCAUGGCUGAAGGAGCUGAUGGAGGAGCCAUGCUGAAUGCCCUGCCUGGUGGAGGAGCUGACGGAGGCCCUGCCUGGUGGAGGAUGUCUGUCGUGGGGUAGAUGGAGCCUGACUCUGAAACCAGGACUCUGUCUGAGGAGAGCUGAUGGAGGAGCUGAGACGCUGGAGGACGACUAGGUAUCGACCAACGAGGAUUCCUCAAUGUGUUUAUGGAGCGGAGGCGAGCUGAUAGGGGAGCCAUGAAUCUGGAGGAUGACCAUCACUUUACCAACAAGGAUUGUAAGCGUUGGGGCCAGACUUGCGCUGUUUGUUCCAGACCAGGACUCUGGCUGAGGAGAGCUGAUGGAGGAGCCAUGACUCUGGAGGACGACAUCACUCCACCAACAAGGAUCCUCACCAGGAAUCUGGAGGACUGACGGGAGAAACUGUACAUCUGGAAGGCAAAUCCUGAGGGCGACCAGGACUCUACCAUCAAGGAUUCCUUACACAGCUGAGCUGAACUUCACCUGAUCCUGUUUGGUCGGGGGCAGACACACCUGAGCUGAACCCCACCCGAUCCGGACAUCCUGCUGGUCCUGUCUCCUCAGUUCAUCUGAGGGUCUUCCUCCAGAAGACCUGCUGAGCUCAGCGGUCUGAGGCUGAUGGAUCAAUGACCUCCUGUGGGAGUGAUCUUCUUGACCCCACAUGUACCCGUGUGCUUCCACACGCCUUUCCCUCAAGUCUGUCACUAACCUCACUACUUCACUACUUCACUACUCCUUCCCCUUCUUCCUUCUCCGUGGUUCGAACCGUUACUCUGAAGGAGUGUCUCCUUGAACCUUCACACUGAAGGAGCGUCUUCCUGCCCUCAGAGGGUUCAGCGUUAGGGUUGAGAGUCAGGGUUUAGAGUCAGGGACAGGGCUGGUCAGGGAGGACUGCUUUUACACAAACCUCUUCACUUGCUUUCUGAAUGGUGACAUUUUGAAAAGAUUCAUCUGGGAAAAUGUUUUCCUCUGCUUUCCUUUACAAAAAUAUGUAUUAAACUUCUGUCAAGUGUUUUUGUUUAUACAUUAAAAUCCUACAUUGAC